AAGUCGUAACAAGGUCUCCGUAGGUGAACCUGCGGAGGGAUCAUUAACACGUAUCCAAACGUAUUUAAACCCAAACCGGUCUCAUAUACCUCCCAUUAAGGGUGUGGUUGGUUAGCAAGCCAUAGGUGGAUUUGCUUUACUUUCGAGUAGAGUAACUGCUUGCAAUCUACAGCUCUCGAGGCUAAACCUCCCCAUUAUGGUGUAAUUUUCGUCACCUGGCUAUUAGGCCACCCCUAUAAGUUGGGGGGUGUAUACCUUUCGGGGUUGCACCUUCUCAAUGAACUAGGAGCCUCUUAGCCUUAUUGAACCCUAUUUUUAACCCCUUUAACUUAAAUUAUUACUGAUUUUACUUCUCUAUGGACUUUGUGUCUAUAUUGAUGUAUACGAAAUAGUGAACAACUCUUAGCAACGGAUAUCUUGGUUCUCGUACCGAUGAAGAACGCAG
RNAcentral lists this unclassified non-coding RNA (445 nucleotides) under fungal sp. RNAcentral's name for it is "partial internal transcribed spacer region". The stretch from base 1 to 46 matches the Rfam family "Eukaryotic small subunit ribosomal RNA", at positions 1786 to 1831 of the family's 1831-position model. The record is from RNAcentral. Lineage: Eukaryota; Fungi.